RNAcentral lists this unclassified non-coding RNA (651 nucleotides) under Erythrobacter sp. Ery04. Its description in RNAcentral is "partial contains 16S ribosomal RNA and 16S-23S ribosomal RNA intergenic spacer". The stretch from base 244 to 317 matches the Rfam family "tRNA". Lineage: Bacteria; Pseudomonadati; Pseudomonadota; Alphaproteobacteria; Sphingomonadales; Erythrobacteraceae. The record is from RNAcentral.
UAGUCGUAACAAGGUAGCCGUAGGGGAACCUGCGGCUGGAUCACCUCCUUUCUAAGGAUAUUCGCGAAAGCGCCUCGGCUAGCCCGGGGAAGGGCUUCGCGGUCUCCAAAGAACAUUGCCGUCGUCCUCAUGUCCUUUCAUCAAUCGGAAUACAGCGCGCUACUGGUGCGCUGUGUGCCUGAGCCGGCUCACGCCCAUGCGGCAGCCUGUUCCUUCGGGAAUGGCGGCCGGACGCGGUGGUGUGGGCCUGUAGCUCAGUUGGUUAGAGCGCACCCCUGAUAAGGGUGAGGUCAGAGGUUCAAAUCCUCUCAGGCCCACCAUUACCUUACAAGGGGCCUUAGCUCAGCUGGGAGAGCACCUGCUUUGCAAGCAGGGGGUCAUCGGUUCGAUCCCGAUAGGCUCCACCAGGUACUUCAAGUUCCGAUAGAUGAAACGAAAGCGGAUCCUGCUACGGCAGGCUAGGCAGCUCGGCUGCCGAUCUUUGACAUUGUGAAUGGGUUUUUAAAUCGAUGCCGUGGCGCAUGGAUUGUAUCGAACGGGCUUCGGCCUGGGCGGUCGAUCGUGCAUCACAAAUCAAUCAAAUUGAUUAUCUGGCUGAGAUAAUUCUCCCACCAUCUCCAAGCGGUCAGGCUUUUAUGCAGGCCUGUCGUU